Molecule: ribosomal RNA, 654 nt
Filed under: uncultured soil bacterium
Lineage: Bacteria
Description: bacterial SSU rRNA
Rfam family: Bacterial small subunit ribosomal RNA
Source: RNAcentral
GCUGGCGGCGUGCCUUACACAUGCAAGUCGAGCGAGGCGGCCCGCAAGGGUCAGUCGAGCGGCGAACGGGUGAGUAACGCGUGGAUAACCUGCCCAGAGGUGGGGGAUAACCCGGGGAAACUCGGGCUAAUACCGCGUGAUACCGAAAGGUCAAAGGGGGCUCGCAAGGGCUCUCGCCAUAGGAGGGGUCCGCGUCCGAUUAGCUAGUUGGUAGGGUAAUGGCCUACCAAGGCGACGAUCGGUAGCCGGCCUGAGAGGGUGAUCGGCCACACUGGAACUGAGACACGGUCCAGACCCCUACGGGAGGCAGCAGUGGGGAAUUUUGCGCAAUGGGCUAACGCCUGACGCAGCAACGCCGCGUGGAGGAUGAAGGUCUUUGGAUUGUAAACUCCUGUCAGCAGGGAAAAAGCAAAUCGGCCUAACACGCCGGUGAGUUGAUUGUACCUGCAGAGGAAGCCCCGGCUAACUCUGUGCCAGCAGCCGCGGUAAUACAGAGGGGGCAAGCGUUAUUCGGAAUUAUUGGGCGUAAAGGGCGCGUAGGCGGCUUGGCAAGUGGAUGGUGAAAUCCCUCGGCUUAACCGAGGAACUGCCGUCCAAACUGCUUUGCUUGAGACCGGGAGAGGUGAGUGGAAUUCCCAGUGUAGCGGUGAAAUG